This 487-nucleotide ribosomal RNA is filed under the name Cladosporium sp. 100a. Its description in RNAcentral is "partial 18S ribosomal RNA". The stretch from base 174 to 327 matches the Rfam family "5.8S ribosomal RNA". The record is from RNAcentral. Lineage: Eukaryota; Fungi; Ascomycota; Dothideomycetes; Cladosporiales; Cladosporiaceae.
CUGCGGAGGGAUCAUUACAAGUGACCCCGGUCUAACCACCGGGAUGUUCAUAACCCUUUGUUGUCCGACUCUGUUGCCUCCGGGGCGACCCUGCCUUCGGGCGGGGGCUCCGGGUGGACACUUCAAACUCUUGCGUAACUUUGCAGUCUGAGUAAACUUAAUUAAUAAAUUAAAACUUUUAACAACGGAUCUCUUGGUUCUGGCAUCGAUGAAGAACGCAGCGAAAUGCGAUAAGUAAUGUGAAUUGCAGAAUUCAGUGAAUCAUCGAAUCUUUGAACGCACAUUGCGCCCCCUGGUAUUCCGGGGGGCAUGCCUGUUCGAGCGUCAUUUCACCACUCAAGCCUCGCUUGGUAUUGGGCAUCGCGGUCCGCCGCGUGCCUCAAAUCGACCGGCUGGGUCUUCUGUCCCCUAAGCGUUGUGGAAACUAUUCGCUAAAGGGUGUUCGGGAGGCUACGCCGUAAAACAACCCCAUUUCUAAGGUGACCUC